GCCCAGGUGGUCUAAUGGUAAGGCGCUCGUAAGUACCUCCAGACCUUCAUCGGGGUGAGCUACAUUGGGUUAGCAAUAACCUUGAAAGGAGGGUUGAGACUCGGUUCGAUUCCUGGCCUGGGCA
Molecule: transfer RNA, 124 nt
Filed under: Penicillium salamii
Lineage: Eukaryota; Fungi; Ascomycota; Eurotiomycetes; Eurotiales; Aspergillaceae
Description: tRNA-Pseudo
Source: RNAcentral